RNAcentral lists this ribosomal RNA (465 nucleotides) under uncultured bacterium. RNAcentral describes it as "partial 16S ribosomal RNA". It matches the Rfam family "Bacterial small subunit ribosomal RNA", at positions 28 to 507 of the family's 1533-position model. The record is from RNAcentral.
GACGAACGCUGGCGGCGUGCUUAACACAUGCAAGUCGAACGGUGAACUCCGCUUGCGGGGGGGUCAGUGUCGCACGGGUGUGUAACACGUGGGCAACCUGCCCUCUGCUCUUGGAUAACACCACGGAAUUGGGGCUCAUAUCCGAGAUGAUCGCUGAUCGCAGGGUCUGGGGGUGUGAAAAUUUAUCGGCUGGGGAUGGGCGCGCGGCCGAUCAGCCAGCUGGUGGGGUGGUGGCGUACCAACGCGACGACGGGUAGCCGGCCGGAGAGGGUGGCCGGCCACAAUGGGACAGAGACACGGGCGAGACUGCUGCGGGAGGCAGCAGUGGGGGAUAUUGCGCAAGGGGCGGAGGCGUGACGCAGCGACGCCGCGUGGGGGAUGACGGCCUUCGGGUUGUAAACCGCUUACCGCAGGGACGAAGCGGAAGUGACGGUAGCUGCAGAAGAAGCACCGGCUAACUACGUG